RNAcentral lists this ribosomal RNA (395 nucleotides) under Beijerinckiaceae bacterium. RNAcentral describes it as "partial 23S ribosomal RNA". It matches the Rfam family "Bacterial large subunit ribosomal RNA", at positions 1 to 321 of the family's 2925-position model. The record is from RNAcentral. Lineage: Bacteria; Pseudomonadati; Pseudomonadota; Alphaproteobacteria; Hyphomicrobiales; Beijerinckiaceae.
GAUCAAGUGCCAUAAGGGCGUUCGGUGGAUGCCUUGGCAUCGAGAGGCGAUGAAGGACGUGGUACGCUGCGAUAAGCUGUGGGGAGGUGCGAACAACCUUUGAUCCGCAGAUUUCCGAAUGGGGAAACCCACUUUCGAUCAGUGUUAUCUUGAGGCUUUCCGUGCAUGCGGAAGGGUCUCGGGCUUCGGUUCGGGGCGAAAGCUUCGAGCUAACACUGGUCACAAAGAAAGUAUUCUAUCCCUGAAUACAUAGGGGAUUGAAAGCGAACCCAGGGAACUGAAACAUCUAAGUACCUGGAGGAAAGGAUAUCAACGAAACUCCGUGAGUAGUGGCGAGCGAAAGCGGAUCAGGCCAAUGCUUCCUGAAGUCUAAGCGGAACCGUCUGGAAAGUCGG